CUGCAGUAUUCAGCCAAGUCAUGGAGAAAUAAGUCAGCCAAGUGAUGGAGAAAUUGCCCAGGCUUCUAGCAAAAGUAUUGGAGGAAAGUAAAAUUGAUAUUCUCCUUCAAAGAUGGCCUCACCUGGUGCGUGAAAUGAUCUUAGAUGCUUUCUGCAUCUUAAAAUGUGUAAGCUGUCUUGAAUUCUUCAGGAAGAAACACCUUCUCCAAAGGCAAGGUUAUGUUUUCAAGGUGGUUGCUGAGAUUUACAGACAUGGAACAUAUCUGCAAACUCUACAUCAUCUUCACACUCUUCUGGUGCGUUACUGCUGCUUUUUAUAUUUUGCUGUUUGAUUGAUCUGUAAGAAGGAAAAAAAUUCAAGGAUUGAG
RNAcentral lists this long non-coding RNA (368 nucleotides) under Parus major (Great Tit). RNAcentral's name for it is "lncRNA (ENSPMJG00000017204.1)". The record is from RNAcentral. Lineage: Eukaryota; Metazoa; Chordata; Aves; Passeriformes; Paridae.